Molecule: ribosomal RNA, 495 nt
Filed under: uncultured bacterium
Lineage: Bacteria
Description: partial 16S ribosomal RNA
Rfam family: Bacterial small subunit ribosomal RNA
Source: RNAcentral
GACGAACGCUGGCGGCGUGCCUAAUACAUGCAAGUAGAACGCUGAAGGAGGAGCUUGCUUCUCUGGAUGAGUUGCGAACGGGUGAGUAACGCGUAGGUAACCUGCCUGGUAGCGGGGGAUAACUAUUGGAAACGAUAGCUAAUACCGCAUAAUAGUAGAUGUUGCAUGACAUUUGCUUAAAAGGUGCAAUUGCAUCACUACCAGAUGGACCUGCGUUGUAUUAGCUAGUUGGUGGGGUAACGGCUCACCAAGGCGACGAUACAUAGCCGACCUGAGAGGGGGCACGGCCACACUGGGACUGAGACACGGCCCAGACUCCUACGGGAGGCAGCAGUAGGGAAUCUUCGGAAAUGGACGGAAGUCUGACCGAGCAACGCCGCGUGAGUGAAGAAGGUUUUCGGAUCGUAAAGCUCUGUUGUAAGAGAAGAACGAGUGUGAGAGUGGAAAGUUCACACUGUGACGGUAUCUUACCAGAAAGGGACGGCUAACUACGUG